GUCAGCUGAGAGCUAUACUUGGAAUUCUUUAUACUCUUUAUGAAGAUGAAGCCAUGCACCCAGUAUUUGCUGAUAGGUAGAAAGGAAGCCUUCCAUGAAGAUCUGUUCACAUUGCACUUGCAAAUGUAAACAUGAUGCGGUAUGCCCAAUCAUCAUAUAUAUCAGAAACGUCAUCUCUUAUUUGAGAUGGAUAAUGCAUGACAUGUUUACCAAAACAGAGAGAUGAUGCAUCA
This 233-nucleotide long non-coding RNA is filed under the name Elaeis guineensis (African oil palm). Its description in RNAcentral is "long non-coding RNA (EGUI_LNC074842)". The record is from RNAcentral. Lineage: Eukaryota; Viridiplantae; Streptophyta; Magnoliopsida; Arecales; Arecaceae.